CGGUAAUACGUAGGGUGCGAGCGUUAAUCGGAAUUACUGGGCGUAAAGCGUGCGCAGGUGGUUUUGUAAGUCAGAUGUGAAAUCCCCGGGCUCAACCUGGGAACUGCGUUUGAAACUACAAGGCUAGAGUGUGGCAGAGGGGGGUGGAAUUCCGCGUGUAGCAGUGAAAUGCGUAGAGAUGUGGAGGAACACCGAUGGCGAAGGCAGCCCCCUGGGUCAACACUGACGCUCAGGCACGAAAGCAUGGGGAGCAAACAGGAUUAGAUACCCUGGUAGUCCAUGCCCUAAACGAUGUCAACUAGUUGUCGGGCCUUAACGGGCUUGGUAACGUAGCUAACGCGUGAAGUUGACCGCCUGGGGAGUACGAUCGCAAGAUUAAAACUCAAAGGAAUUGACGGGGACCCGCACAAGCGGUGGAUUAUGUGGAUUAAUUCGAUGCAACGCGAAAAACCUUACCUACCCUUGACAUGUAUCGAAGCCCGCAGAAAAGCGGGGGUGCCCGAAAGGGAACGAUAACACAGGUGCUGCAUGGCUGUCGUCAGCUCGUGUCGUGAGAUGUUGGGUUAAGUCCCGCAACGAGCGCAACCCUUGUCAUUAAUUGCCAUCAUUUAGUUGGGCACUUUAAUGAGACUGCCGGUGACAAACCGGAGGAAGGUGGGGGAUGACGUCAAGUCCUCAUGGCCCUUAUGGGUAGGGCUUCACACGUAAUACAAUGGCGCGUACAGAGGGUUGCCAACCCGCGAGGGGGAGCUAAUCUCAGAAAGCGCGUCGUAGUCCGGAUCGGAGUCUGCAACUCGACUCCGUGAAGUCGGAAUCGCUAGUAAUCGCGGAUCAGCAUGUCGCGGUGAAUACGUUCCCGGG
RNAcentral lists this ribosomal RNA (861 nucleotides) under uncultured bacterium. RNAcentral's name for it is "bacterial SSU rRNA". It matches the Rfam family "Bacterial small subunit ribosomal RNA", at positions 518 to 1378 of the family's 1533-position model. The record is from RNAcentral.